This 255-nucleotide ribosomal RNA is filed under the name Duganella radicis. Its description in RNAcentral is "partial 23S ribosomal RNA". It matches the Rfam family "Bacterial large subunit ribosomal RNA", at positions 186 to 477 of the family's 2925-position model. The record is from RNAcentral. Lineage: Bacteria; Pseudomonadati; Pseudomonadota; Betaproteobacteria; Burkholderiales; Oxalobacteraceae.
CGGCGAACUGAAACAUCUAAGUAGCUGCAGGAAAAGAAAUCAACCGAGAUUCCCAAAGUAGUGGCGAGCGAAAUGGGAAGAGCCUGUACGUGAUAGUCGUUUGGAUAGUGGAAUGCCCUGGAAAUGGUAGCCAUAGCGGGUGAUAGCCCCGUACACGAAAUUCAAGCGGUGGUACUAAGCGUACGACAAGUAGGGCGGGACACGAGAAAUCCUGUCUGAAUAUGGGGGGACCAUCCUCCAAGGCUAAAUACUCGU